CUGACAUACUCCUCUAAAUGGGCCUGGCAUCUAUCCCACUGUCUAACGAAGGAAUGUGUGUGGGGGCGGUGUUUAGGGAGGUGAGACCUUCUCUGGGGCACACUAAUCGGCUCCAAACCAAGGCCCAGGCAGGGAGGCACUGGACAGCCUCAGGAGUUUGGCUUGUUGGAGCAGAGUGUAAAGUCCCAGGGGAGCGCUCCUGGUGAUGGGGGCACUGCCUCGACCUCACUCACGCUGGGUGUGGGUAGCAUCCAACUAGGAAGACACACAAUGAAAACCAAAACUGAAGAUGGUGAUGCUUCUGCUGGACUCUCCCAGGACUGAGCCUUAUUCUCAGGGUCAUGCAUUCCGGCAAUCUCUGUAAUUAUAAGCAAUUCAGUUACUACUUGUUUGGACGAUAUGCUGUUGGAGCCAAAUGAACAGAGGGUGAGCAGGCCACAGGUCAGGAGGAGCCGCUGAAGGAUCCCACCAUCUGAGGGCCAUAGAUUCCACUGGGGAACGUUUCACCCUGCUGAGAGGCAGAGUGAAGUCUCUAAUGCUGCAGCACGCAUGCUCGCCGAGGUGUCUCGGUGUCUAACUAAAACCCACAGGUGGUGAAAAAUUCUCCACAUAACUGCUCAGUUUUACUACAAAUUUUGCAGCAACAAGCUGAGGUGAUCUGAAAACAGACUGUGCUUUUGUGUGUUUGACAGUGCUCCUGCUCCAAACGCUCGCAGUCUAAAUGUAGCAUUUUUACAGGACAACACAACUGAAGAAUAUAAAGCUGCACCUGAAGAAAUAAAUCAAUGGCUUUUACCAUUGGCCUUUUGCAGUAUCAUAUACGUAUGUGGUGAAUAGAAAUCUCCUGGCUGGCAUUGUUUUUAUUACAAACGUGUCAUGUUUUUAUUUAUCUUUGCUUGAUUCCCUUUUCCCUCCUGCUCAGAGGUGAGACCUGAAACAACAACAACAUUUUUGUUGAUUUUCACUGUGCCUGUUUGCUCCCAAAAAUUUAUAUUUGAUUCAUUCUCCGUUACAUAUUUAUAAGGUUAUCCCAGAGGGACAAGCCAUGUCAGGCAGUUUUUGGAGUAUC
Long non-coding RNA from Monopterus albus (swamp eel), 1069 nucleotides. RefSeq lists it as uncharacterized. The record is from RefSeq and is a predicted model, not a curated record. The transcript has 3 exons. Lineage: Eukaryota; Metazoa; Chordata; Actinopteri; Synbranchiformes; Synbranchidae.